UACCAGCACCCCGAGUGGUCGGGACGUUUAUUGGGCCUAAGGCAUCCGUAGCCGGUUCUACAAGUCUUCCGUUAAAUCCACCUGCUUAACAGAUGGGCUGCGGAAGAUACUAUAGAGCUAGGAGGCGGGAGAGGCAAGCGGUACUCGAUGGGUAGGGGUAAAAUCCGUUGAUCCAUUGAAGACCACCAGUGGCGAAGGCGGCUUGCCAGAACGCGCUCGACGGUGAGGGAUGAAAGCUGGGGGAGCAAACCGG
Molecule: ribosomal RNA, 253 nt
Filed under: uncultured bacterium
Lineage: Bacteria
Description: partial 16S ribosomal RNA
Rfam family: Archaeal small subunit ribosomal RNA
Source: RNAcentral